UUUAGCAACCCUUUUCAGCUCU
This 22-nucleotide microRNA is filed under the name Melibe leonina. Its description in RNAcentral is "mle-miR-12103-3p". Lineage: Eukaryota; Metazoa; Mollusca; Gastropoda; Nudibranchia; Dendronotidae. The record is from miRBase by way of RNAcentral.